UAUCGGAUUGAUACUAAGCCAUGCGAGUCAUUGCAGUAAUGCAAGGCAGACGGCUCAGUAACGCGUAGUCAACCUACCCUAUGGACGGGAAUAACCUCGGGAAACUGAGUAUAAUGCCCGAUAGAACACUAUUCCUGGAAUGGUUUGUGUUCCAAAUGAUUUAUCGCCGUAGGAUGGGACUGCGGCCUAUCAGUUUGUUGGUGAGGUAAUGGCCCACCAAGACUAUUACAGGUACGGGCUCUGAGAGGAGUAGCCCGGAGAUGGGUACUGAGACACGGACCCAGGCCCUAUGGGGCGCAGCAGGCGAGAAAACUUUGCAAUGUGCGAAAGCACGACAAGGUUAAUCCGAGUGGUUUGUGCUAAACGAACCUUUUGACAGUCCUAGAAACACUGUUGAAUAAGGGGUGGGCAAGUUCUGGUGUCAGCCGCCGCGGUAAAACCAGCACCUCAAGUGGUCAGGAUGAUUAUUGGGCCUAAAGCAUCCGUAGCCGGCUCUGUAAGUUUUCGGUUAAAUCUGUACGCUCAACGUACAGGCUGCCGGGAAUACUGCAGAGCUAGGGAGUGGGAGAGGUAGACGGUACUCGGUAGGAAGGGGUAAAAUCCUUUGAUCUAUUGAUGACCACCUGUGGCGAAGGCGGUCUACCAGAACACGUCCGACGGUGAGGGAUGAAAGCUGGGGGAGCAAACCGGAUUAGAUACCCGGGUAGUCCCAGCUGUAAACUAUGCAAACUCAGUGAUGCAUUGGCUUGUGGCCAAUGCAGUGCUGCAGGGAAGCCGUUAAGUUUGCCGCCUGGGAAGUACGUACGCAAGUAUGAAACUUAAAGGAAUUGGCGGGGGAGCACCACAAGGGGUGAGGCCUGCGGUUCAAUUGGAGUC
RNAcentral lists this ribosomal RNA (876 nucleotides) under uncultured archaeon. Its description in RNAcentral is "bacterial SSU rRNA". It matches the Rfam family "Archaeal small subunit ribosomal RNA", at positions 31 to 913 of the family's 1478-position model. The record is from RNAcentral.